Hyaena hyaena (striped hyena) is the source of this 320-nucleotide long non-coding RNA. RefSeq lists it as uncharacterized. The transcript has 3 exons. Lineage: Eukaryota; Metazoa; Chordata; Mammalia; Carnivora; Hyaenidae. The record is from RefSeq and is a predicted model, not a curated record.
CUAGAGCACCUGAUGUCUCUGUAUUCUUCAUAGAGACUUUGCUGCUCUAUCAAAUCAGACAUGCAGAGAAAACUAUCUUGGCACAAAGCCUAAGAAGAUUUAAGGACUCAAUGGACCUCUGCUCCUGAGGGAUGGAGGCAAAGAGGGAAGGAGGGUGCAAGCAUGCCCAGAAGAGACAGAAGUCACACAGAGUGCUCAAGCCUCGCAGGAAGGGCCAAAGUGAACUUUGGCACAGUACUUCUCCAUGAAACAUAUUCUUAUUGCUUGCCUCAUUGCUAUCAUCUGAAUGGGAGGUGAUGCUUCAUUUUCAUUAUUGCAAG